This 253-nucleotide ribosomal RNA is filed under the name uncultured bacterium. Its description in RNAcentral is "partial 16S ribosomal RNA". It matches the Rfam family "Bacterial small subunit ribosomal RNA", at positions 524 to 776 of the family's 1533-position model. The record is from RNAcentral.
UACGUAGGUGGCAAGCGUUAUCCGGAUUUACUGGGUGUAAAGGGCGUGUAGGCGGGGACGCAAGUCAGAUGUGAAAACCACGGGCUCAACCUGUGGCCUGCAUUUGAAACUGUGUUUCUUGAGUACUGGAGAGGCAGACGGAAUUCCUAGUGUAGCGGUGAAAUGCGUAGAUAUUAGGAGGAACACCAGUGGCGAAGGCGGUCUGCUGGACAGCAACUGACGCUGAGGCGCGAAAGCGUGGGGAACGAACAGG